Molecule: transfer RNA, 73 nt
Filed under: Stegodyphus mimosarum
Lineage: Eukaryota; Metazoa; Arthropoda; Arachnida; Araneae; Eresidae
Rfam family: tRNA
About the family: Transfer RNA (tRNA) molecules are approximately 80 nucleotides in length. Their secondary structure includes four short double-helical elements and three loops (D, anti-codon, and T loops). Further hydrogen bonds mediate the characteristic L-shaped molecular structure. tRNAs have two regions of fundamental functional importance: the anti-codon, which is responsible for specific mRNA codon recognition, and the 3' end, to which the tRNAs corresponding amino acid is attached (by aminoacyl-tRNA synthetases). tRNAs cope with the degeneracy of the genetic code in two manners: having more than one tRNA (with a specific anti-codon) for a particular amino acid; and 'wobble' base-pairing, i.e. permitting non-standard base-pairing at the 3rd anti-codon position.
Source: Rfam by way of RNAcentral
GCCUUCGUGGUGUAGUGGUCAGCAUGCUCAACGUGUAACUGAGAGGUUCAUGGUACAAUUCCCGGCGAAGGCG